CAGCCGCCGCGGUAAUACGAGGGGGGCAAGCGUUGUUCGGAUUUAUUGGGCGUAAAGGGUGCGUAGGCGGUAUGGCAAGUCUUGUGUGAAAUCUUCGGGCUCAACCCGAAGCCUGCACGAGAAACUACCGGGCUUGAGUAUUGGAGAGGUGAGUGGAAUUUCCGGUGUAGCGGUGAAAUGCGUAGAUAUCGGAAGGAACACCUGUGGCGAAAGCGGCUCACUGGACAAUAACUGACGCUGAUGCACGAAAGCUAGGGGAGCAAACAGGAUUAGAUACCCCGGUAGUCCCUGUCUCUUAUAC
Molecule: ribosomal RNA, 301 nt
Filed under: uncultured bacterium
Lineage: Bacteria
Description: partial 16S ribosomal RNA
Rfam family: Bacterial small subunit ribosomal RNA
Source: RNAcentral